Molecule: long non-coding RNA, 986 nt
Filed under: Triticum aestivum (bread wheat)
Lineage: Eukaryota; Viridiplantae; Streptophyta; Magnoliopsida; Poales; Poaceae
Description: long non-coding RNA (TAES_LNC022002)
Source: RNAcentral
GCUUAACUCGGUACGCAUAUUGACUCACCGAUUCUUGUACGUGUUGUUCAAAAUCUGUGAACACCAUAUAUAGAGAACUAGUACUAAUUUAUGUUCUGAACAUGCAUGGUUUAAAAUGUCUAAAUCAAAGUCAUCUUGUAUUGUUUCUGGUUGAUUUUGCUGUGCUGAUUGCUCACAACAAAUAUAUAUCUUUCAGACUCAAUACAUAAAAGACUGCAAGAGAUUAUAUGGAAGGAUACUGGACCCUAACAUUGUCAAGUCCUCCAUUCAAGCAAAGUCCAAGGAUCGGUUCGAGAUGGAGUAGUUUGUCCUGCCUGUGCAAUGUUCUUUCCAGCAUCUCAGCUGUGUACUCUAAUUACUGGAGUAUUCUGUAGAUUCUUUUCAAUUAAACUACUCUAGAGAUGAGUCUUUUCCAUUAACUAAAUCUAAAUGAAACAUUAUAUGAAACUUUCCAGAGAUUAAUUAAAUAUUGCAGUAUAUAUUUGACACAAAUAUUGUCAUGCAUCAGUAGUAGCAUUAGAUGGAACUUUUAUCGUAGGACUUGCUUUACAGUGGGACUUACCUCUGUAAUUUAGCCAAACUUUUCAUGUCACCAUGCGACUAAUGUUUUUGCUCAGAAUUCUUUUCUGUUUGUGUGGUGCUAAACUGCCAAUAGAAGCCGAGAUGUCUUGUUGAACAACUCCACAAUUGCAUUGUUGUAUGUUAUUUAGGGUUGUCCCAUUUGCAUAAGACCUGGAGUAAGAACAGGUCCAGUACUAAUUUUGUGUAUGUGUGCAUGUACAUGUACACUUGGGCCUUCUAUAUACACAUAAUUCAGAGCAUCUUUUACUGUGCAUUUUGUUUCUUUGCUCAGUACAGAAUGUAUUGCAAGUGUUGUUCAUUUUUUUCCUUUUGUCUAAAUAUAUCACAAAAAGUUAUGUAUGGAGUAGUGAUUGUUUAAUGUCCUCUUAGGUUACCAAAUGGAUGAAGCGAAAUCUUGUGUGACC